AAACCGCCUAGAGGUAAACGGGUGGAUCCGCAAAGUCGGCCUGCGGAAUUCAGCUCAGAAGGCGAGCGCCCGGGUUGCGGGUCGGGGAUCUUGAUCGACCCUCCCGCUCCGGGACCGCGCGUCGGCUGUGUGCACUUUCCGCGGGCAGAGCGCCACGACCGGUUCUCGGGCAGUCAGAAGGCGGCGGGGAUGGUAGGCGCGCGCUUCGGCGCGCGCUGGUAUAGCCCCGCCUGUCCCGAUCUGCUCGGGGACCGAGGAGCCGCCGCCGGCGUGGGCCGCCUCGCCCUCUCGGGAUGUUCGACUGGCAGAGACCGGGCAACCGUGUCUGCCGACCGCUUCUCGGGACGGACUUGGGGUGGGCCCGCCGGCACAGGGUCGGUGGCGAAUCGGUCGGCCCUCCACCCGACCCGUCUUGAA
This 417-nucleotide ribosomal RNA is filed under the name Ergaea walshi. RNAcentral describes it as "partial 28S ribosomal RNA". Lineage: Eukaryota; Metazoa; Mollusca; Gastropoda; Littorinimorpha; Calyptraeidae. The record is from RNAcentral.